GGCUCGGAGGUUGCCAGGCAGCUGCUGCCUGCACACAGAGGGCGACUGCAGCUUGGGCGCCCAGGCGGCGGAGCAUGGUCUGGGUGGCCUCUGGAAUGCGUGCGCGCCAGACCUGAGGGCCCUCCUGCUGGUGCCACCUGACCCGGUCUUCCUCUGCUGGAGCCUGGAGCAGCUGGAAUGGCCACUCUGCAGUCACAGGGGAUAGAGUUAAGUUUUCUUAUCCCAGGCAUGCACACAAAAAGACAGAGUCUCGCUCUUGUCACCCAGGCUGGAUGCAGCAUCCUGCUACUGGAUAUGUAGAUAAAAGAGAAGUAUUACAUCUUUGAGAUAUGGAAUCAACCUAAGUGCUGCUCUAAGCAUACAAGUGCAGGUGAAAUGCUCAUUGCAGUGCUGCAAAAAGGUGAGGUCACAGGACACAAACCCAUAUCUGAGACCUGGAUGCCUUCCUCCACGCACUCACCCACUGGCUGUCCUGAGCAUCACCCUGCACCUAUUGUCACAGCAACAAGGGAAAAAUCAGCAUAGUGGUCAAGUCCAUUGUCAGCUUCUGACACUGCCUCUUACAAGGAGGUGACUUUGGAAAUGUCAUUCAGCCUUCCUGUGCCUGAGAUCGCCUCAC
Molecule: long non-coding RNA, 619 nt
Filed under: Homo sapiens (human)
Lineage: Eukaryota; Metazoa; Chordata; Mammalia; Primates; Hominidae
Description: HSALNT0353942
Source: RNAcentral